This 460-nucleotide ribosomal RNA is filed under the name uncultured bacterium. RNAcentral's name for it is "partial 16S ribosomal RNA". It matches the Rfam family "Bacterial small subunit ribosomal RNA", at positions 338 to 795 of the family's 1533-position model. The record is from RNAcentral.
CCUACGGGAGGCAGCAGUGAGGAAUAUUGGUCAAUGGGCGUAAGCCUGAACCAGCCAAGUCGCGUGAGGGAUGAAGGUUCUAUGGAUCGUAAACCUCUUUUAUAAGGGAAUAAAGUGUGGGACGUGUCCUAUUUUGUAUGUACCUUAUGAAUAAGGAUCGGCUAACUCCGUGCCAGCAGCCGCGGUAAUACGGAGGGUCCGAGCGUUAUCCGGAUUUAUUGGGUUUAAAGGGUGCGUAGGGGGCUUUUUAAGUCAGCGGUGAAAGUCUGUGGCUCAACCAUAGAAUUGCCGUUGAAACUGGGGGGCUUGAGUAUGUUAGAGGCAGGCGGAAUGCGUGGUGUAGCGGUAAAAUGCUUAGAUAUCACGCAGAACCCCGAUUGCGAAGGCAGCCUGCCAAGCCAUGACUGACGCUGAUGCACGAAAGCGUGGGGAUCAAACAGGAUUAGAUACCCCUGUAGUC